AUGGCGAGAUACUGGUGGAGUAGCUCUCUUGACCGCAGAUCUUUACAUUGGCUGGAUUGGGACACACUUGCAACCGCGAAAGUGAAAGGAGGGAUGGGAUUCAGAAACCUGGAGCUCUUCAAUCUAUCUCUUCUAGGAAAGCAUGGAUGGAGGCUCAUCACAAGCCCGAAUUCGCUUUGUGCGCGAGUGCUCAAAGGGAAGUACUUCCCGAAUACAGACUUCCUAGGCGCAAGAGCGCACCGGCACGCUUCGGCUACCUGGCGAGCUAUUUUGGCAGGCAGGGAAGCAUUGGUGUCUGGUAUGAUCAAGAGAAUUGGGGAUGAUACGACGAUUUCGAUCUGGAGGGACCCGUGGAUACCUGGGCUGAUCUCCAUGAAGCCGUCGGUACAAAUUGGUACGACAUAUAUGAAUACGGUUUCAGAAUUGAUCGAUGCAGAGACUGGGACGUGGAAAAUUGACAUUGUGAGAAACAAUUUUAUCUCUCCCUGA
This 489-nucleotide ribosomal RNA is filed under the name Triticum aestivum (bread wheat). RNAcentral describes it as "partial small subunit ribosomal RNA". Lineage: Eukaryota; Viridiplantae; Streptophyta; Magnoliopsida; Poales; Poaceae. The record is from RNAcentral.